RNAcentral lists this long non-coding RNA (1435 nucleotides) under Rosa chinensis. RNAcentral's name for it is "sRNA RchiOBHm_Chr2g0115191". The record is from RNAcentral. Lineage: Eukaryota; Viridiplantae; Streptophyta; Magnoliopsida; Rosales; Rosaceae.
CUUAGCUCCCUCAUUUUGGAGCAUCAAAAUCUCUCUUUUCUCUAAUUUUAGGUUAGUUUUUCAGACCUUGUACAUAGUUCUUUAAUUUUGUGUGAGAAAUAGGUGUGUAGGCACUUGAGUUUCACCAAAACCGAAGUUACUACACACUCUAAAUCAAUCACAACACUUGCUUUCACAUAUCCAAGCCCUUGUUCUUGAGGUUUGUGGAUGUGUAUGUUGUUUUGGGUUGUUAAAACCGAAAAUCCCAUACCUUGAAGAAAGUCUCUCAUCAUUUGACAUCUUUGAGAGCUAGGUGGGAGGUUGGGUAGUUCUUCUCUUUUCUCUUCCUUCUCUCUGUAAUUUGAUGUUCAUAGCUUGUAUUUAUAAUAACAUGUGUGGUGAGUAGUUGGAUUUGAGGAUAGGGCAAACUUAUGUGCAAAUAAUGUAAAUUUCCAUGUGGUUUAAUGUUUAUGCAUGUUUUGAAUCUUUUGGCUACUAUACUUUCAUGUAUCCUAAGUGUGUUUAUAGAUUUAUCACCUAGAAGCAUGCUUUAAGAAAUUAAUGAAUCGGAAACAUGAACUUGAUAAACUCUUGAUUCAGUGAGCAUAUGUAGCUAAAUAGGUGGUGGCUUAGCUUAUUACUAUGGGAAGAACUAAGUUACUUGAAUUUCUUGCCUUGAAAUUAAAGUAUGAUGUUGUGAGUUCAGGUUCCGGAAGAAUUUAGGCUCACGGCACCAUAGACCAUUUAGGAUUCAAAAGAUUUGAAUGGGUAUAAAGGUUGUGUAAUUUAGCUUUGCUUCGGAAGAGAUUGUUAAAUUACAUGACUAGUUGGUUUCUUGGUAGCUUCAUCAAAGCACUAAGGGGAAAUUUAUCAAAGCAUGUUAUUACAUUAAAUAUGGGUUACAUUUUGUGCAUGAAUAAGGUUAGGUAUGAUACAUAAGUCUCUAUUCUUCUCAUUGAUUUAGUCUCUACAUUUUUAUUUGUUUUUUUAUUUUAUGCAACUUAAUUUUCUUUAUCCAAAUUAAAAUCAACCAAGCCGCUCACUACCACAAUUGUUAAUACCAUCCUCAUGAUCUUUAGCUUCCAAAGGGCUAAGGUUGUGAACUUGUAAAAAUGUAGACUCGCAUGUGUUUUCUAGGUUUAUUUUCACUGUGAUCUAGCUAGGGUAGGGUAGAGUUACUCAAUCCCUUGGGUACGAUACUCUUACUUUUCCCCUUUACUAAAACUUGACCUCCUAACUUGGGAGUAGGGCACAUCAUCCACAAAUUGCAUACACUUUCAUACUUAAGGAUGUCCCCAACAAGAGAGCAAAAGAAGAAGAUGGUAAUGGCGGUCUCCAGCACUUUGGUGGGUUUUUCUUAAUCCAUGAAUUUAAUGAGGAUGAUUGCUUAGAUUUGUUUCUUAGAAUCUGGGAGCUGGGUUUAAUUAAUUAAGGGAUGUAUUGUAUUGAGUCAUUU